AAAACCCCACUUGACAGAAAGGUAAUAAAGAGAAACCUCCCUCAGAAGUUCUAAAGGACGUACCACAAUGAUACUGAACACCAAUCUGAUGUCCCAAGGUGGAGUCCCGCUGUGUAGUUGUUGAAGGUGUACAAAAUAGCCUCAGGAGAACUGUUUGAUCUAAACUAAACUCUGCAACAGGGUUGUCCAUCCACCGUGCCUAUAGUUCUGAAGGGAGACCAAAACUGACCAGCUCUUCAGAAAGAAAACUAUCCCUGAGCCAGCAACUGACUUGUCUGAAAGCAGGCUAAUGACCCAUUGGAGGAAAUAUGAGCCAUACUAUGUGGAAUUAGGAUUCCUCUGUACCUCCUCAGCUAACUGACAGCUCAGCAGCAGUAAAUUCUACCUGUUGGAUUAGAACAGAGCUCUGGAAGCUUUACAUUAUUUACAGUACAUAGUCC
This is a long non-coding RNA of Mauremys mutica (yellowpond turtle), 440 nucleotides long. RefSeq lists it as uncharacterized. Lineage: Eukaryota; Metazoa; Chordata; Testudines; Geoemydidae. The record is from RefSeq and is a predicted model, not a curated record. The transcript is spliced from 3 exons.